GACGAACGCUGGCGGCGUGCUUAACACAUGCAAGUCGAACGGAAAGGCCCUGCUUUUUUGGGGUUCUCGAGUGGCUAACGGGUGAGUAACACGUGAGUAACCUGCCCUUGACUUUGGGAUAACUUCAGGAAACUGGGGCUAAUACCGGAUAGGAGCUCCUGCUGCAUGGUGGGGGUUGGAAAGUUUCGGCGGUUGGGGAUGGACUCGCGGCUUAUCAGCUUGUUGGUGGGGGAGUGGCUUACCCAGGCUUUGACGGAUAGCCGGCAUGAGAGGGUGACCGGCCACAUUGGGACUGAGAUACGGCCCAGAGUCCUACGGGAGGCAAAAGUGGGGAAUAUUGCACAAUGGGCGGAAGCCUGAUGCAGCAACGCCGCGUGCGGGAUGAAGGCCCUCGGGUGGUAAACCGAGUUCGCCUGUGACGAAGCGUGAGUGACGGUAAUGGGUAAAGAAGCACCGGCUAACUACGUG
This 468-nucleotide ribosomal RNA is filed under the name uncultured bacterium. RNAcentral's name for it is "partial 16S ribosomal RNA". It matches the Rfam family "Bacterial small subunit ribosomal RNA", at positions 28 to 507 of the family's 1533-position model. The record is from RNAcentral.